AUAGUCCAUGCUCAAGAUCGAAUGGCAUCUCUCAGACUGGAAGACCUUUCUGAAGUCAGUUCCAGACAUCCCUGGAAGGCUGGAUAAUUUGGGAAAAGGCUGACUCAAUGUAAGCCCAACUUAUACAUGGCACUCCAAGGGGAUGCUUCAGCCAGAAAGUAAAGGGCUGAAAAAGUAGAACAAUACAAAAGCCCUCGUGUGGUGGGAACUGUGGCCUCACUCUUACUUGUCCUUCCAUUCAAAACAGUUUGGCACCUUUCCAUGACGAGGAUCUCUACAGGACUCUGCCUGAGAAAUUUUAUACAUUCCUCCAAAGAAAAAAAAUACAGAAAAGCUGUUUCAAAACCAAAAUCUCCUUAUUUUCCCAGAAUAGAAUGAGGAGAAAACAACUAUUUUUGAGCCAUUAAUGUCUGACAGUUCCAGAAUGCAACAAUUAAAAAUUGUUACCAACUUGUGACAAUUCCAUUAUAUACAUGGCUAAAAAGUUUUCCUGGGAGAGUGUACAAAAUAUGUUACCAAACCUAUCAAAAGCAAGCCAUGCAAUAAAAAAUGACUGAAUAAUAAUAAUAAAAAAA
Homo sapiens (human) is the source of this 575-nucleotide long non-coding RNA. Ensembl annotates it as MAL2 antisense RNA 1. Its record names the gene MAL2-AS1. The record is from Ensembl. Lineage: Eukaryota; Metazoa; Chordata; Mammalia; Primates; Hominidae.